UGAACUGUAUUCACCCCAGUUUAAUACUGAGGAUGACCCUCACGCCACUGACCUCGUUGGGGGCUUAAUGUCUCUCUGCUUGGACUAAGGGGCUGCCUGCUGCUCUUCUCCCAGGGAACCCUCAACCUAGGGCAGCAGAAAGGAACAGUGUUCUAGACAGUCCAUUGAUUCCCUCCUCCAGUGUCUCUUAGGGUUUUACAAGUCACUUAUUUAAAUAAGACAUUUCAAUUGUAUUAAAGC
Molecule: long non-coding RNA, 240 nt
Filed under: Rattus norvegicus (Norway rat)
Lineage: Eukaryota; Metazoa; Chordata; Mammalia; Rodentia; Muridae
Description: long non-coding RNA NONRATT000865
Source: RNAcentral